UGGGGAAUUUUGGACAAUGGGCGAAAGCCUGAUCCAGCAAUGCCGCGUGUGUGAAGAAGGCCUUCGGGUUGUAAAGCACUUUUGUCCGGAAAGAAAUCCUUGGCUCUAAUACAGUCGGGGGAUGACGGUACCGGAAGAAUAAGCACCGGCUAACUACGUGCCAGCAGCCGCGGUAAUACGUAGGGUGCAAGCGUUAAUCGGAAUUACUGGGCGUAAAGCGUGCGCAGGCGGUUUGCUAAGACCGAUGUGAAAUCCCCGGGCUCAACCUGGGAACUGCAUUGGUGACUGGCAGGCUAGAGUAUGGCAGAGGGGGGUAGAAUUCCACGUGUAGCAGUGAAAUGCGUAGAGAUGUGGAGGAAUACCGAUGGCGAAGGCAGCCCCCUGGGCCAAAUACUGACGCUCAUGCACGAAAAGCGUGGGGAGCAAAACAGGAUUAGAUACCCUGGUAGUCCACGCCCUAAACGAUGUCAACUAGUUGUUGGGGAUUCAUUUCCUUAGUAACGUAGCUAACGCGUGAAGUUGACCGCCUGGGGAGUAC
RNAcentral lists this ribosomal RNA (538 nucleotides) under uncultured bacterium. Its description in RNAcentral is "partial 16S ribosomal RNA". It matches the Rfam family "Bacterial small subunit ribosomal RNA", at positions 355 to 883 of the family's 1533-position model. The record is from RNAcentral.